Molecule: long non-coding RNA, 311 nt
Organism: Dendrobium catenatum
Lineage: Eukaryota; Viridiplantae; Streptophyta; Magnoliopsida; Asparagales; Orchidaceae
Exons: 2
Source: RefSeq, a predicted model, not a curated record
GCCUCUAUGGAGAUAAGCUCUCUUAUCUGAAGGCGAUCCUGAAGGCGAUUUUGGGGUCUCUUUGGCUUCCUGUGUUUCUCCGUCAGUCCGAUGUAGCCGACGGAGGUUCUUGGCUACAAUUUUUUGCUCGGGAUGCAUUCAGUUUGGCUGUUCGGAUUGAAUGGUGUGACCAUAUUGAAUGGAGUGGAGUGUUGUUCAAGGAUUGGUUGUGGAAGGAUGGAAAAGAUGGAGAAUUCUGUUGUAUUUUUGGAAAAUGAUUGUUUGAACAAGUUCUUAUCUGUUAAGGUGAAUUCUACUUUACUAAGCAUGAA